RNAcentral lists this microRNA precursor (62 nucleotides) under Sarcophilus harrisii (Tasmanian devil). Its description in RNAcentral is "Sha-Mir-1542_pre stem-loop". It matches the Rfam family "mir-1542 microRNA precursor family", at positions 7 to 68 of the family's 72-position model. RNAcentral also lists the same sequence under 1 other name. The record is from RNAcentral. Lineage: Eukaryota; Metazoa; Chordata; Mammalia; Dasyuromorphia; Dasyuridae.
CCUGGCACAUAGGAGCUUCAUAAAUGUGUGUUGAUUUAUUUAUUGAUCUCCAAUGCCUAGCA